This is a long non-coding RNA of Mesocricetus auratus (golden hamster), 1433 nucleotides long. RefSeq lists it as uncharacterized. The record is from RefSeq and is a predicted model, not a curated record. NCBI's taxonomy places the organism in Eukaryota, Metazoa, Chordata, Mammalia, Rodentia, Cricetidae. The transcript has 7 exons.
CUCGGGCCUCGUGUCCUGGUCCAAUGGUGGAGAAGAAAUUCACAAAUCCUGGCGUUCAAGCCUAUCCUGUAAGGCUGCGUCCGUGUGGACCAGACAAAUGUAGGGCCAUCCCACUGUCAGCCUGUGUCUACAUCCGAGAACGAUCCUGGGCACCUCAUCCCCAUAGUUUUAGCACCAUCCAUUUCAAAGUGGAGCACAAGCUUCACAUAACUGACCUAGUGAGGGCCUGGUGACUGCCUCUCUAAUCGACCUGAAUAAACCAGGUUAUUUGAACCUUGGCGCUCACCACACGACAAAAACAUUUCCAUCUGUACCCAGCAGAGAGGGGCAGAGGAUCGACAAGACAAGGAAUUUCAUGUUUACGUAAUUCCAAAGCAAAGGGUCUUGCUUCCAAAAUGCUUACUCCGUUGCCCAAAUUCGAACAGCUCUUUGACUAUCAUGAUAAAACAAAAUGGAACCCGUGAGCAUUUCAUUACAAAGUCGCAAAGUCUACAGUAUCCGUUCCAUUUUUACUUCUACCGGUACCUUCUUUAUAAAGGAAGAUUCAUCUUUUCGGGGGCAGAGAUGAAGUGUGGUUCCUUCUGAUUAAGGAUUGGAAGACAGAGAGCUUGCAGUUAAAGAUCAUCAAAUCAACAAAGUCAGCAUUGAGGAAUUGUUCCGGCCACAUCAACAGUCAAUGUUGAAGCCUCGUUCUACCCCAAAAUGAAACCAGGGAAGUAUAGGAAGGAGAGAGGGUUUUAUAGAGAAAAUGUUGUGUUGUUGAGUCCCCUCUGCCCACUCACCCACCCAAAUAUUUCUUUCUUUCUUUCUCCUCAAGCAUAAAAUGAAUUUCAUUGGCACCGGCGAGCUAAAAAGGUGUUCCCUGUUGUUAGAAAGUCAAGAACCACAUCAACAUUUUCGCCUGGACUGUUCUGUAAAAGACUAUCAACUAACAAAGAAUGAACCAAAAAAUAAAGUUUCCAUUCAGGAACCAAGGAAGAUAACAACCUAACCCCUAGGCAAACCAUUUGAAAAGAUGAGCUUCAAGUAAACUUGAGCUGGAAACUUGAUAAUGCUGUUAUGGUUGUACCCGCUGCCGCUAGCAGUGAUCAACACGGAUUAGUAUCCAGACCAAGUAGAGGCCGUGGGGAUGAAACAGGUUUUCAGCAGAUCCUUUGGAGUGACAGGAAGCUGGAGCAGAGGAAUUCUGCAUUGCUAGCGCCUAAGUGUGGUGACCUGCCUGCAAGACACGCUGGUACAAUAGUAGCACAAAAGCUGUGGGAGUGACCAACCACUGUCUGAUUGGAUUGAAGGCCCACUCCAUGAGAGGGAACCUAUGCCCUACACUGCCCAGACGGCCAAAAACCUGAGAUGAGAUACACCGUGGACCUAGGAAAAACCAAAUACUAUUGUUCUGCUGAAGAUACAUAGCAAUAAAAUGACUCCUGAAAGCA